CCUACGGGUGACUGCAGUCGAGAAUCUUUCACAAUGGGGGAAACCCUGAUGGUGCGACGCCGCGUGGGGGAAUGCAGGUCUUCGGAUUGUAAACCGCUGUUAUGUGGGAGCAAAUUAAAAAGAUAGUACCACAAGAGGAAGAGACGGCUAAUUCCGUGCCAGCAGCCGCGGUAAUACAGAGGUCUCAAGCGUUGUUCGGAAUCACUGGGCGUAAAGCGUGCGUAGGCUGUUUCGUAAGUCGUGUGUGAAAGGCGCGGGCUCAACCCGCGGACGGCACAGGAAACUGGGAGGCUAGAGUAAUGGAGGGGGAGCCGGAAUUCGCGGUGUAGCGGUGAAAUGCGUAGAUAUCAAGAGGAACACUCAUGGCGAAGGCGGGUUCCUGGACAUUAACUGACGCUGAGGCACGAAGGCGAGGGGAGCGAAAGGGAUUAGAUACCCUUGUAGUC
Molecule: ribosomal RNA, 446 nt
Filed under: uncultured bacterium
Lineage: Bacteria
Description: partial 16S ribosomal RNA
Rfam family: Bacterial small subunit ribosomal RNA
Source: RNAcentral